AGCGAACGCUGGCGGCAGGCCUAACACAUGCAAGUCGAACGAACUCUUCGGAGUUUGUGGCGGACGGGUGAGUAACACGUGGGAACGAGCCUUUUGGUUCGGAAUCACUCAGGGAAACAUGUCUUCAUAAAGCUUGUGCUCUUCCGGGGUAAGAUUUCUGGCCACUUGCUCGGGCCGCGUCUGAUUGGCGAGUGGGUGAUGUAACGGCGCGCCAAGGCCAGGAUCAUGGGCUGGUCUGAGAGCAUGACCAGGCACACUGGGACUGCGGCACGGCCUAGACUGGUACGGGAGGCAGCGGAGGAGAGUCUUGCGGAAUGAGCGAAAGUCUGACGCAGCCAUGCGGCGUGAAUGAUGAAUGGCUUAGGAUUGUAAAAUUCUUUCACCGGGGGCGAGAAUGACGGUACUCGGAGAAGAAGCCCCGGCUAACUUCGUG
Molecule: ribosomal RNA, 433 nt
Filed under: uncultured bacterium
Lineage: Bacteria
Description: partial 16S ribosomal RNA
Rfam family: Bacterial small subunit ribosomal RNA
Source: RNAcentral